RNAcentral lists this ribosomal RNA (958 nucleotides) under Loma sp. SVB-PE3. RNAcentral's name for it is "SSU rRNA". It matches the Rfam family "Microsporidia small subunit ribosomal RNA", at positions 19 to 927 of the family's 1311-position model. Lineage: Eukaryota; Fungi; Microsporidia; Glugeidae. The record is from RNAcentral.
UGACGUGGAUGCUAGUCUCAUAGGUUAAGCCAUGCAUGUGGAAGCGAAGCCUUUUAAGGUGGAGCGGCGUACGGCUCAGUAACGGGCGAUAGAUUUGAUCUGCCUAUACGGACAUCCUCUGUAAACGGAGGGUAAAACGUAAGGGGGGCUUCCAUGCGGAAGUUCGCCAAACCUGUAAAGGUGAGGCAGAGUAAGAAGCCAUCCCAUCAGUUAUUAAGUAGGGUAAGGGCCUACUUAGACGAAGACGGGUACGGGGAAUUAUCGUUUGAUUCCGGAGAGGGAGCCUGAGAGACGGCUACCGGGUCCAAGGACAACAGCAGGCGCGAAAAUUACCGCAGCCUGCGAUCAGGGCGGUAGUAAGGAGACGUGAUGACGAAGUGCUGAUAAAAGCUGCACUAGUGACAGGAGGAAAAGACUGGUGCCAGCACCCGCGGUAAUACCAGCUCCUGGAGUGUCUAUGUUGAUUGCUGCAGUUAAAGAGUUACUAGCCGAGGCAUUAUUAACUACGUUAAAGGGGAUAUCUCAAUUAUCCCUGUGCGCAGUGAUUUUGCAGAAUAAGGAGUGCUUAGGGGCCAGAGUAUCAUACGGCGACUGGUGAAAUGGGAUGACCCGUGUGGGAGUAACAGAGGCGAAAGCGCUGGCCAGGGGCGAGUCCGAUGGUAAAGGACGUAGGCUAGAGGAUCGAAGACGAUUAGAGACCGUUGUAGUUCUAGCAGUAAACGAUGCCGAUGUCGUGGUGCCGAAUAAUGGCGACGCGAAAGAGAAAUCGAGUAGGGCCCUGGGGAGAGUACACGCGCAAGCGAGAAAUUUAAAGGAAAUUGACGGAAGAACACCACAAGGAGUGGAGUGUGCGGCUUAAUUUGACUCAACGCGGGACAACUUACCGGGCCCGACGACCGUAUGAGUGUAACACACGAUAGGUCGAAGAGUGGUGCAUGGCCGUUAACGACGAGUGGAG